GGGACACGUGGUAUCCUGUCUGAAUAUGGGGGGACCAUCCUCCAAGGCUAAAUACUCCUGACUGACCGAUAGUGAACCAGUACCGUGAGGGAAAGGCGAAAAGAACCCCGGCGAGGGGAGUGAAAAAGAACCUGAAACCGUGUACGUACAAGCAGUGGGAGCACGCUUAGGCGUGUGACUGCGUACCUUUUGUAUAAUGGGUCAGCGACUUAUAUUCUGUAGCAAGGUUAACCGAAUAGGGGAGCCGAAGGGAAACCGAGUCUUAACUGGGCGUUAAGUUGCAGGGUAUAGACCCGAAACCCGGUGAUCUAGCCAUGGGCAGGUUGAAGGUUGGGUAACACUAACUGGAGGACCGAACCGACUAAUGUUGAAAAAUUAGCGGAUGACUUGUGGCUGGGGGUGAAAGGCCAAUCAAACCGGGAGAUAGCUGGUUCUCCCCGAAAGCUAUUUAGGUAGCGCCUCGUGAAUUCAUCUCCGGGGGUAGAGCACUGUUUCGGCAAGGGGGUCAUCCCGACUUACCAACCCGAUGCAAACUGCGAAUACCGGAGAAUGUUAUCACGGGAGACACACGGCGGGUGCUAACGUCCGUCGUGAAGAGGGAAACAACCCAGACCGCCAGCUAAGGUCCCAAAGUCAUGGUUAAGUGGGAAACGAUGUGGGAAGGCCCAGACAGCCAGGAUGUUGGCUUAGAAGCAGCCAUCAUUUAAAGAAAGCGUAAUAGCUCACUGGUCGAGUCGGCCUGCGCGGAAGAUGUAACGGGGCUAAACCAUGCACCGAAGCUGCGGCAGCGACGCUUAUGCGUUGUUGGGUAGGGGAGCGUUCUGUAAGCCUGUGAAGGUGUGCUGUGAGGCAUGCUGGAGGUAUCAGAAGUGCGAAUGCUGACAUAAGUAACGAUAAAGCGGGUGAAAAGCCCGCUCGCCGGAAGACCAAGGGUUCCUGUCCAACGUUAAUCGGGGCAGGGUGAGUCGACCCCUAAGGCGAGGCCGAAAGGCGUAGUCGAUGGGAAACAGGUUA
Molecule: ribosomal RNA, 1014 nt
Filed under: Escherichia coli
Lineage: Bacteria; Pseudomonadati; Pseudomonadota; Gammaproteobacteria; Enterobacterales; Enterobacteriaceae
Description: partial 23S ribosomal RNA
Rfam family: Bacterial large subunit ribosomal RNA
Source: RNAcentral